RNAcentral lists this ribosomal RNA (253 nucleotides) under uncultured bacterium. RNAcentral's name for it is "partial 16S ribosomal RNA". It matches the Rfam family "Bacterial small subunit ribosomal RNA", at positions 524 to 776 of the family's 1533-position model. The record is from RNAcentral.
UACGUAGGGGGCAAGCGUUGUCCGGAAUCAUUGGGCGUAAAGCGCGUGUAGGCGGUCCGGUAAGUCCGCUGUGAAAGUCGGGGGCUCAACCCUCGGAUGCCGGUGGAUACUGUCGGGCUUGAGUACGGAAGAGGCGAGUGGAAUUCCUGGUGUAGCGGUGAAAUGCGCAGAUAUCAGGAGGAACACCAAUUGCGAAGGCAGCUCGCUGGGACGUUACUGACGCUGAGGCGCGAACGCGUGGGGAGCGAACAGG